Molecule: ribosomal RNA, 442 nt
Filed under: uncultured bacterium
Lineage: Bacteria
Description: partial 16S ribosomal RNA
Rfam family: Bacterial small subunit ribosomal RNA
Source: RNAcentral
CCUACGGGUGGCAGCAGUGGGGAAUAUUGGGCAAUGGGCGCAAGCCUGACCCAGCAACGCCGCGUGAAGGAAGAAGGCUUUCGGGUUGUAAACUUCUUUUGUCAGGGAAGAGUAGAAGACGGUACCUGACGAAUAAGCCACGGCUAACUACGUGCCAGCAGCCGCGGUAAUACGCAGGUGGCAAGCGUAGUCCGGAUUUACUGGGUGUAAAGGGCGUGUAUCCGGGUUGACAAGUCAGAUGGUAAAUCGUGCGGCUUAACCGCAGAACUGCAUUUGAAACUGUUGAUCUUGAGUACUGGAGAGGCAGAUGGAAUUCCUAGUGUAGCGGUGAAAUGCAUAGAUAUUAGGAGGAACACCAGUGGCGAAGGCAGUCUGCUGGACAGCAACUGACGGUGAAGCGCGAAAGCGUGGGGAGCAAACAGGAUUAGAUACCCCAGUAGUC